UAGGGAAUCUUCGGCAAUGGACGAAAGUCUGACCGAGCAACGCCGCGUGAGUGAAGAAGGUUUUCGGAUCGUAAAACUCUGUUGUUAGAGAAGAACAAGGACGUUAGUAACUGAACGUCCCCUGACGGUAUCUAACCAGAAAGCCACGGCUAACUACGUGCCAGCAGCCGCGGUAAUACGUAGGUGGCAAGCGUUGUCCGGAUUUAUUGGGCGUAAAGCGAGCGCAGGCGGUUUCUUAAGUCUGAUGUGAAAGCCCCCGGCUCAACCGGGGAGGGUCAUUGGAAACUGGGAGACUUGAGUGCAGAAGAGGAGAGUGGAAUUCCAUGUGUAGCGGUGAAAUGCGUAGAUAUAUGGAGGAACACCAGUGUCGAAGGCGGCUCUCUGGUCUGUAACUGACGCUGAGGCUCGAAAGCGUGGGGAGCAAACAGG
RNAcentral lists this ribosomal RNA (429 nucleotides) under Gemmatimonadota bacterium. RNAcentral describes it as "Gemmatimonadetes bacterium partial 16S ribosomal RNA". It matches the Rfam family "Bacterial small subunit ribosomal RNA", at positions 355 to 776 of the family's 1533-position model. Lineage: Bacteria; Pseudomonadati; Gemmatimonadota. The record is from RNAcentral.